UCCCUCUCUCUCCCCCACUCGUCUCUCCCUCUCCCUCGCGCGAGCAGCUACGGCGGCCUCCCUUGACCCCACGCUGCUGCGCCACCUCGCCUCCGCCCGCCGGUGCGUGCCACCACCUCACCGGACCCCAGGAGCCCUGUCGCCUCGCGCUGCCGCCUGCACCGCUCACGCGCCGCCACAUCCCCACAAGCUCGCCGCCCCGCUGCGGAAGCCUCGUCGCCGGUCGCCCCGACCUCGAGAUCCGCCGCUGCCAUGGGAGCCGAGCAGCGAGCUCUUCUGCGCCACGCCCGCGUCCCCGCGUCACCGCCGCCAUCCCACGCAGCCUCGCGCCAAGAUCCGGCCGCGGGAGGUCCGGCCACUCCGGAUCCAGCCUCCUCCUCGCCGCACAGGCCCUCCUCCUCGCCGGUGUGACGCCCCUCGCCGGAGCAGAGCCGGCCAAGCCCAUCAGCCGCCAGGGUCGUGCUGCAGCCCAUCCGUGAGAUCUCCGGCGCCGUGCAGCUGCCAGGGUCCAAGUCACUCUCCAACUAGAUCCUCCUCCUCUCCGCUCCACUGGCCGUGUCCCUCUGCGCGCUGACGGACAGCAGCGGCGUCCACGGCAGAAGAGGAGUAUUCCCGUGUUUUUACGCGUUGUCUUCCUCGGCGACGAUUGCCACGGCGCUGCUGUUAUGUUCUACCUCCACAUUUCGCUGCUGUGAUUCCAUUAGACUGUGCGUAUGUGCCUAUGUGGGGAAGCAUGUCUGAUUGCCCAGGUUCAGGACCAUAUUUCACAACAAGAUAUUCUCCUUGGCAACCGACCUGGAAGUGAGGUCACAGUUGACACCUAUUGUCGUCCAACAGUUGAUACUUGAAGUCAAGUGUUGGCUCCUACAGCAUUGCAUUUCACCAAUUUAAAUGCUACAUUUCUACUCCUAAACCAUUCUCUCUUUCUUAGUGUUUUUGUUAUGCAGGUUGGAAGAAAAGAAGAAGAUCCAGAGAAGAUCUUAGUAAUAAGAUAGUUUUUAGGAAAAUAGAUAUUUAGUUUUAGGUCAUUUCUUGUAAUUUUAGAUAUGGAGUACUUGCUAUUAUUGGUAACAUGUGUUGGAUAUGUGUU
Long non-coding RNA from Triticum aestivum (bread wheat), 1090 nucleotides. RefSeq lists it as uncharacterized. The record is from RefSeq and is a predicted model, not a curated record. Lineage: Eukaryota; Viridiplantae; Streptophyta; Magnoliopsida; Poales; Poaceae. The transcript has 2 exons.